Molecule: ribosomal RNA, 253 nt
Filed under: uncultured bacterium
Lineage: Bacteria
Description: partial 16S ribosomal RNA
Rfam family: Bacterial small subunit ribosomal RNA
Source: RNAcentral
UACGUAGGGGGCGAGCGUUGUCCGGAAUCAUUGGGCGUAAAGAGCGUGUAGGCGGUUCGGUAAGUCCGCCGUGAAAACCUGGGGCUCAACCCCGGGCGUGCGGUGGAUACUGCCGGACUAGAGGGUGGUAGAGGCGAGUGGAAUUCCCGGUGUAGCGGUGAAAUGCGCAGAUAUCGGGAGGAACACCAGUAGCGAAGGCGGCUCGCUGGGCCAUUCCUGACGCUGAGACGCGAAAGCGUGGGGAGCAAACAGG